UGGUUAAAAAGCUCGUAGUUGGAUCUCGGCGGUCUGAGGGCGGUUCGCUUGAUUGAGUGCUACUGCUCUAUAGGCCGUGGUUUUGCCAGAGGUCUCGGGGUGCUCUUAACCGAGUGUCCUGCGAUGCUGGCAGGUUUACUUUGAAAAAAUUAGAGUGCUCAAAGCAGGCUUUUACGCCUGAAUAUUCGUGCAUGGAAUAAUAGAAUAGGAAGUCGUUUCUAUUUUGUUGGUUUUCGGAAAUCGACUUAAUGAUUAAUAGGGACAGUCGGGGGCAUUUGUAUUCAAACGACAGAGGUGAAAUUCUUGGACCGUUUGAAGACAAACUACUGCGAAAGCAUUUGCCAAGAAUGCUUUCAUUAAUCAAGAACGAAAGUUAGAGGUUCGGAGGCGAUUAGAUACCGCCCUAGUUCUAACCAUAAACGAUGCCAGCUAGCGAUCUGCCGACGUUUUCUUUGUAGACUCGGCAGGAAGCUUCCGGGAAACCAAAGCAUUUGGGUUCCAGGGGAAGUAUGGUUGCAAAGCUGAAACUUAAAGGAAUUGACGGAAGGGCACCACCAGGAGUGGGGCCUGUGGCUUAAUUUGACUCAACACGGGAAAUCUCACCAGGCCCGGACACUGGAAGGAUUGACAGAUUGAUAGCUCU
Molecule: ribosomal RNA, 643 nt
Filed under: uncultured marine eukaryote
Lineage: Eukaryota
Description: SSU rRNA
Rfam family: Eukaryotic small subunit ribosomal RNA
Source: RNAcentral